RNAcentral lists this ribosomal RNA (512 nucleotides) under uncultured bacterium. Its description in RNAcentral is "bacterial SSU rRNA". It matches the Rfam family "Bacterial small subunit ribosomal RNA", at positions 15 to 518 of the family's 1533-position model. The record is from RNAcentral.
GAUUAUGGCUCAGGAUGAACGCUAGCUACAGGCUUAACACAUGCAAGUCGAGGGGCAGCAUAACGAAAGCUUGCUUUGUUGAUGGCGACCGGCGCACGGGUGAGUAACGCGUAUCCAACCUUCCCUAUACUAGAGGAUAGCCCGGCGAAAGUCGGAUUAAUACUCUAUGUUCUUCGUAGAAGACAUCUGAAAUGAAGCAAAGGUUUACCGGUAUAGGAUGGGGAUGCGUCUGAUUAGGUUGUUGGCGGGUAACGGCCCACCAAGCCCACGAUCAGUAGGGGUUCUGAGAGGAAGGUCCCCCACAUUGGAACUGAGACACGGUCCAAACUCCUACGGGAGGCAGCAGUGAGGAAUAUUGGUCAAUGGACGAGAGUCUGAACCAGCCAAGUAGCGUGCAGGAUGACGGCCCUAUGGGUUGUAAACUGCUUUUAUACAGGGAUAAAGUGACGUACGUGUACGUUUUUGUAGGUACUGUAUGAAUAAGGACCGGCUAAUUCCGUGCCAGCAGCAGC